This 329-nucleotide ribosomal RNA is filed under the name uncultured eukaryote. RNAcentral describes it as "partial 18S ribosomal RNA". It matches the Rfam family "Eukaryotic small subunit ribosomal RNA", at positions 1470 to 1796 of the family's 1831-position model. The record is from RNAcentral.
CCCUUAGAUGUUCUGGGCCGCACGCGCGCUACACUGAUGCAUUCAACGAGUCUAAAACCUGCUCUGAUAGGGGUGGGUAAUCUUUUGAAUGUGCAUCGUGAUUGGGAUAGAUGAUUGCAAUUUUUCAUCUUCAACGAGGAAUGCCUAGUAAACGCAAGUCAUCAGCUUGCAUUGAUUACGUCCCUGCCCUUUGUACACACCGCCCGUCGCUCCUACCGAUUGAAUGAUCCGAUGAAUAUCAUGGAUUGAGGAUGCAAGCAGGUUCGCCUGUCUACAUCUUCGAGAAGUGAAGUAAAUCUUAUCAUUUAGAGGAAGGAGAAGUCGUAACA